RNAcentral lists this ribosomal RNA (253 nucleotides) under uncultured bacterium. RNAcentral describes it as "partial 16S ribosomal RNA". It matches the Rfam family "Bacterial small subunit ribosomal RNA", at positions 524 to 776 of the family's 1533-position model. The record is from RNAcentral.
UACGUAGGGUGCAAGCGUUGUCCGGAAUUAUUGGGCGUAAAGAGCUCGUAGGCGGUUCGUCGCGUCGGCUGUGAAAUCCCGGAGCUCAACUCCGGGUCUGCAGUCGAUACGGGCGGACUCGAGUUCGGCAGGGGAGACUGGAAUUCCUGGUGUAGCGGUGAAAUGCGCAGAUAUCAGGAGGAACACCGGUGGCGAAGGCGGGUCUCUGGGACGUUACUGACACUGAGGCGCGAAAGCGUGGGGAGCGAACAGG